Molecule: ribosomal RNA, 207 nt
Filed under: uncultured bacterium
Lineage: Bacteria
Description: partial 16S ribosomal RNA
Rfam family: Bacterial small subunit ribosomal RNA
Source: RNAcentral
CAUCUAGGCGGUCAAUCAAGUCGAAGGUGAAAACUUGUGGCUCAACCAUAAGCUUGCCUACGAAACUGAUUAACUAGAGUACCGGAGAGGUGGACGGAACUACACGAGUAGAGGUGAAAUUCGUAGAUAUGUGUAGGAAUGCCGAUGAUGAAGAUAGUUCACUGGACAGAAACUGACGCUGAAGUGCGAAAGCUAGGGGAGCAAACA